RNAcentral lists this ribosomal RNA (301 nucleotides) under uncultured bacterium. RNAcentral's name for it is "partial 16S ribosomal RNA". It matches the Rfam family "Bacterial small subunit ribosomal RNA", at positions 509 to 807 of the family's 1533-position model. The record is from RNAcentral.
CAGCCGCCACGGGAAUACGAAGGGGGCUAGCGUUGCUCGGAAUUACUGGGCGUAAAGGGAGCGUAGGCGGACAUUUAAGUCAGGGGUGAAAUCCCAGAGCUCAACUCUGGAACUGCCUUUGAUACUGGGUGUCUUGAGUGUGAUAGAGGUAUGUGGAACUCCGAGUGUAGAGGUGAAAUUCGUAGAUAUUCGGAAGAACACCAGUGGCGAAGGCGACUGACUGGGCAAGUAUUGACGCUGAGGUGCGAAAGCGUGGGGAGCAAACAGGAUUAGAUACCCCCGUAGUCCCUGUCUCUUAUAC